AUUGAACGCUGGCGGCAGGCCUAACACAUGCAAGUCGAACGAGUGGCGGACGGGUGAGUAAUGUCUGGGUAACCGCCCGAUGGGGGGGGAUAACCAUCGGAAACGCUAGCUAAUACCGCAUAUUAUCGGAUGUGCUCAGGUGGGAUUAGCUAGUAGGUGGGGUAACGGCUCACCAAGGCUACGAUCCCUAGCUGGUCUGAGAGGAUGACCAGCCACACUGGAACUGAGACACGGUCCAGACUCCUACGGGAGGCAGCAGUGGGGAAUAUUGCGCAAUGGGCGCAAGCCUGAUGCAGCCAUGCCGCGUGUAUGAAGAAGGUCUUCGGGUUGUAAAGUACUUUUAGUGGGGAGGCGUUACUCGCAGAAGAAGCACCGGCUAACUCCGUGCCAGCAGCCGCGGUAAUAC
Molecule: ribosomal RNA, 406 nt
Filed under: uncultured bacterium
Lineage: Bacteria
Description: partial 16S ribosomal RNA
Rfam family: Bacterial small subunit ribosomal RNA
Source: RNAcentral